UGGGGAAUAUUGCACAAUGGGCGCAAGCCUGAUGCAGCCAUGCCGCGUGUAUGAAGAAGGCCUUCGGGUUGUAAAGUACUUUCAGCGGGGAGGAAGGGAGUAAAGUUAAUACCUUUGCUCAUUGACGUUACCCGCAGAAGAAGCACCGGCUAACUCCGUGCCAGCAGCCGCGGUAAUACGGAGGGUGCAAGCGUUAAUCGGCAUUACUGGGCGUAAAGCGCACGCAGGCGGUUUGUUAAGUCAGAUGUGAAAUCCCCGGGCUCAACAUGGGAAGUGCAUCUGAUACUGGCAAGCUUGAGUCUCGUAGAGGAGGGUAGAAUUCCAGGUGUAGCGGUGAAAUGCGUAGAGAUCUGGGGGAAUACCGGUGGCGAAGGCGGCCCCCUGGACGAAGACUGACGCUCAGGUGCGAAGGCGUGGGGGGCAAACAAG
RNAcentral lists this ribosomal RNA (429 nucleotides) under Chloroflexota bacterium. RNAcentral describes it as "Chloroflexi bacterium partial 16S ribosomal RNA". It matches the Rfam family "Bacterial small subunit ribosomal RNA", at positions 355 to 776 of the family's 1533-position model. The record is from RNAcentral. Lineage: Bacteria; Bacillati; Chloroflexota.